RNAcentral lists this ribosomal RNA (341 nucleotides) under uncultured Bacteroidota bacterium. Its description in RNAcentral is "bacterial SSU rRNA". It matches the Rfam family "Bacterial small subunit ribosomal RNA", at positions 29 to 351 of the family's 1533-position model. The record is from RNAcentral. Lineage: Bacteria; Pseudomonadati; Bacteroidota.
AACGAACGCUGGCGGCGUGCCUAACACAUGCAAGUCGGACGCGAAAGAGGGCUUCGGUUCUCGAGUAGAGUGGCGCACGGGUGAGUAACGCGUAGGUAAUCUACCCUUAUGAUUGGGAUAACUGACCGAAAGGUCAGCUAAUACCGGAUACACUUUAGGUUACGCGAGUGAUUUAGAGGAAAGGUGACCUCUGCAUGCAAGUUGCCGUAUAGGGAUGAGCCUGCGUACCAUUAGCUAGUUGGUGUGGUAAGAGCGCACCAAGGCGACGAUGGUUAGCGGGUCUGAGAGGAUGAUCCGCCACACUGGAACUGGAACACGGACCAGACUCCUACGGGAGGCUG